Molecule: ribosomal RNA, 657 nt
Filed under: uncultured bacterium
Lineage: Bacteria
Description: bacterial SSU rRNA
Rfam family: Bacterial small subunit ribosomal RNA
Source: RNAcentral
AUCUGCCUAGUAGAGGGGGACAACAUGUGGAAACGCAUGCUAAUACCGCAUACGCCCUGAGGGGGAAAGGAGGGGAUCACUUGUGACCUUCCGCUAUUAGAUGAGCCUGCGUGAGAUUAGCUAGUUGGUAGGGUAAAGGCCUACCAAGGCGACGAUCUCUAACUGGUCUGAGAGGAUGACCAGUCACACUGGGACUGAGACACGGCCCAGACUCCUACGGGAGGCAGCAGUGGGGAAUAUUGGACAAUGGGCGCAAGCCUGAUCCAGCCAUGCCGCGUGUGUGAAGAAGGCCUUAGGGUUGUAAAGCACUUUCAGGAGUGAGGAAGGGCAUUUGGUUAAUACCCAAAUGUUUUGACGUUAGCUCCAGAAGAAGCACCGGCUAACUCUGUGCCAGCAGCCGCGGUAAUACAGAGGGUGCAAGCGUUAAUCGGAAUUACUGGGCGUAAAGCGCGCGUAGGUGGUUUGUUAAGUCGGAUGUGAAAGCCCAGGGCUCAACCUUGGAAUGGCACCCGAUACUGGCAGGCUAGAGUAUGGUAGAGGGGUGUGGAAUUUCCUGUGUAGCGGUGAAAUGCGUAGAUAUAGGAAGGAACAUCAGUGGCGAAGGCGACACCCUGGACUAAUACUGACACUGAGGUGCGAAGCGUGGGGAGCAAACAG